RNAcentral lists this long non-coding RNA (274 nucleotides) under Lathyrus oleraceus (garden pea). RNAcentral's name for it is "Pisum sativum (pea) long non-coding RNA (PSAT_LNC039345)". Lineage: Eukaryota; Viridiplantae; Streptophyta; Magnoliopsida; Fabales; Fabaceae. The record is from RNAcentral.
AAGCUUCAUACUCUCUAACACUCAUAGCUCAGCUACUUCACUAAAGUUCCACCAUAAACACUUUCAUCCCAAACCCCUUGCUUUAUAUCCAAGCUCAACACCAUUUCAACCUACCCGUUUUCAACAUUUUUUAGGUAAUGAUUUUAGCUUAAACUUUGUUAACUUUUUGGUUCUGUUUUUGUGAUGAAAAUUGUUGUUUGUUCUUGGUUGAUCUUUUGAGAGGGUUUUGACUCAAGCUUGUAAAAAAUGAUUAACUUUGGUUUACACUUUUUUC